GUGCCAGCAGCCGCGGUAAGACGAACCGUGCGAACGUUGUUCGGAUUCACUGGGCUUAAAGGGCGCGUAGGCGGGCCUGCCAGUCAGGGGUGAAAUCCUCCGGCUCAACCGGAGAACAGCCCCUGAUACUGCAGGCCUCGAGGGAGGUAGGGGUCCGCGGAACUUCCGGUGGAGCGGUGAAAUGCGUAGAUAUCGGAAGGAACGCCGGUGGCGAAAGCGGCGGACUGGAUCUCUUCUGACGCUGAGGCGCGAAAGCCAGGGGAGCGAACGGGAUUAGAAACCCCUGUAGUCC
This 292-nucleotide ribosomal RNA is filed under the name uncultured bacterium. Its description in RNAcentral is "partial 16S ribosomal RNA". It matches the Rfam family "Bacterial small subunit ribosomal RNA", at positions 505 to 796 of the family's 1533-position model. The record is from RNAcentral.